UACGAAGGGGGCGAGCGUUGUUCGGAAUUACUGGGCUUAAAGCGUGCGUAGGCGGAUAUACAAGUUGGGAGUGAAAUCCCAGGGCUUAACCCUGGAAUUGCUCUCAAAACUGUAAAUCUAGAAUCCGGUAGAGGUUAAUGGAAUGUCCAGUGUAGAGGUGAAAUUCGCAGAUAUUGAACGGAACACCAGUGGCGAAGGCGAUUAACUGGGCCGGUAUUGACGCUGAGGUACGAAAGCGUGGGUAGCAAACAGG
Molecule: ribosomal RNA, 253 nt
Filed under: uncultured bacterium
Lineage: Bacteria
Description: partial 16S ribosomal RNA
Rfam family: Bacterial small subunit ribosomal RNA
Source: RNAcentral